AUUGAGUGUAAUGGAGAGGGUGACUGCCUGAGUUGUGAGGACCGAGUAAUCCAUCCCUCGAGAAGAAGACUCGUGAAUGUCCUGUGUGUGCAGAUCAACAGUAUUCUGCUUCUCAAUUAGAAUAAUACACGCCUCUCCCAAGAGCUCCAAUGAUCAGUCUCAAACUCCAAGGUCAGGGGUCAGCCACCACUACCUGGGAUAAUGCUAGUAUCAGUCUCAGCCCAGCUCCUGAUUACUGUCUAAGCUGCCGCAGAGGUUUGUGUUUCCAGAGGUCCCUCAGAAGCUGAUCCUGAUUCAGCCCUUAAAGACUCCUGAAGGCUAAGGGGAUGGUGAGGGUACUGAAAGUGGAGGAGUCCAAACUUGCUGAACUGUGAGAUCUAUCCUCUGCCUUUGACACCGUGAACCAUCAGAUCCUCCUCUCAGGCCUGGGCGUUCUAGGCUCUGCACACUCUUGAAUUGCAUCCUACCUGGCAGGCCACUCCUACCUGGCAGGCCACUCCUACCAAGUGACGUGAUCUGUGCCAACACAAUCCUGUCUGGGAGCUCUACGGACAAUUCUUUCAACCUCAUGGCUUGGUUUUUGCUCUGACAUGCACUGUCAACUGUGAGACGUGUGUGUGUGUGUGUGUGUGUGUGUACACAUUUCCAAAUCAUGUCCAAUCAAUGGAAUUUACCACAGGGGGACUCCAAGUUGAAGAAACAGCUCAAGGAUUAUUAAUGGAGACAGUCUGCACCUGAGCUCAUUUUCAAGUCUCACAGCAAAGGGUUUGAAUACGCGAU
RNAcentral lists this long non-coding RNA (780 nucleotides) under Salmo salar (Atlantic salmon). RNAcentral's name for it is "lncRNA (ENSSSAG00000090976.1)". The record is from RNAcentral. Lineage: Eukaryota; Metazoa; Chordata; Actinopteri; Salmoniformes; Salmonidae.